CCUACGGGAGGCAGCAGUGAGGAAUAUUGGUCAAUGGGCGCAAGCCUGAAGCAGCCAAGUCGCGUGAGGGAUGCCGGCCCUACGGAUUGUAAACCUCAUUUGCCGGGAAGCAACGGGCGUCACGUGUGUCACCACUCAGGGUACCCGCAGACCAAGCAUCGUCUCACACCGGUCCAGCGGCCGCGGUAAUACGGGGGAUGCGAGAGUUAUCCGGCUUUGUUGGUUUUAAAGGGUGCGUGGGCGGAUCGUUAGUUCAGUGUUCAAAGUGCGGGGCUAAACCCCGUCCCGCCCUUGAAACUGGCGGGCUGGAGUGGAAGAGAAGUAGGCGGAAUGCGUGGUGUAGCGGUGAAAUGCAUAGAUAUUACGCAGAACCCCGAUUGCGAAGGCAGCAUGCCGGCUUCCGACUGACGCUGAAGCACGAAAGCGUGGGGAUCGAACAGGAUUAGAUACCCUAGUAGUC
This 460-nucleotide ribosomal RNA is filed under the name uncultured bacterium. Its description in RNAcentral is "partial 16S ribosomal RNA". It matches the Rfam family "Bacterial small subunit ribosomal RNA", at positions 338 to 795 of the family's 1533-position model. The record is from RNAcentral.